This 2903-nucleotide ribosomal RNA is filed under the name Escherichia coli. Its description in RNAcentral is "23S ribosomal RNA". It matches the Rfam family "Bacterial large subunit ribosomal RNA". Lineage: Bacteria; Pseudomonadati; Pseudomonadota; Gammaproteobacteria; Enterobacterales; Enterobacteriaceae. The record is from RNAcentral.
UUAAGCGACUAAGCGUACACGGUGGAUGCCCUGGCAGUCAGAGGCGAUGAAGGACGUGCUAAUCUGCGAUAAGCGUCGGUAAGGUGAUAUGAACCGUUAUAACCGGCGAUUUCCGAAUGGGGAAACCCAGUGUGAUUCGUCACACUAUCAUUAACUGAAUCCAUAGGUUAAUGAGGCGAACCGGGGGAACUGAAACAUCUAAGUACCCCGAGGAAAAGAAAUCAACCGAGAUUCCCCCAGUAGCGGCGAGCGAACGGGGAGCAGCCCAGAGCCUGAAUCAGUGUGUGUGUUAGUGGAAGCGUCUGGAAAGGCGCGCGAUACAGGGUGACAGCCCCGUACACAAAAAUGCACAUGCUGUGAGCUCGAUGAGUAGGGCGGGACACGUGGUAUCCUGUCUGAAUAUGGGGGGACCAUCCUCCAAGGCUAAAUACUCCUGACUGACCGAUAGUGAACCAGUACCGUGAGGGAAAGGCGAAAAGAACCCCGGCGAGGGGAGUGAAAAAGAACCUGAAACCGUGUACGUACAAGCAGUGGGAGCACAGAGCAAUCUGUGUGACUGCGUACCUUUUGUAUAAUGGGUCAGCGACUUAUAUUCUGUAGCAAGGUUAACCGAAUAGGGGAGCCGAAGGGAAACCGAGUCUUAACUGGGCGUUAAGUUGCAGGGUAUAGACCCGAAACCCGGUGAUCUAGCCAUGGGCAGGUUGAAGGUUGGGUAACACUAACUGGAGGACCGAACCGACUAAUGUUGAAAAAUUAGCGGAUGACUUGUGGCUGGGGGUGAAAGGCCAAUCAAACCGGGAGAUAGCUGGUUCUCCCCGAAAGCUAUUUAGGUAGCGCCUCGUGAAUUCAUCUCCGGGGGUAGAGCACUGUUUCGGCAAGGGGGUCAUCCCGACUUACCAACCCGAUGCAAACUGCGAAUACCGGAGAAUGUUAUCACGGGAGACACACGGCGGGUGCUAACGUCCGUCGUGAAGAGGGAAACAACCCAGACCGCCAGCUAAGGUCCCAAAGUCAUGGUUAAGUGGGAAACGAUGUGGGAAGGCCCAGACAGCCAGGAUGUUGGCUUAGAAGCAGCCAUCAUUUAAAGAAAGCGUAAUAGCUCACUGGUCGAGUCGGCCUGCGCGGAAGAUGUAACGGGGCUAAACCAUGCACCGAAGCUGCGGCAGCGACGCUUAUGCGUUGUUGGGUAGGGGAGCGUUCUGUAAGCCUGCGAAGGUGUGCUGUGAGGCAUGCUGGAGGUAUCAGAAGUGCGAAUGCUGACAUAAGUAACGAUAAAGCGGGUGAAAAGCCCGCUCGCCGGAAGACCAAGGGUUCCUGUCCAACGUUAAUCGGGGCAGGGUGAGUCGACCCCUAAGGCGAGGCCGAAAGGCGUAGUCGAUGGGAAACAGGUUAAUAUUCCUGUACUUGGUGUUACUGCGAAGGGGGGACGGAGAAGGCUAUGUUGGCCGGGCGACGGUUGUCCCGGUUUAAGCGUGUAGGCUGGUUUUCCAGGCAAAUCCGGAAAAUCAAGGCUGAGGCGUGAUGACGAGGCACUACGGUGCUGAAGCAACAAAUGCCCUGCUUCCAGGAAAAGCCUCUAAGCAUCAGGUAACAUCAAAUCGUACCCCAAACCGACACAGGUGGUCAGGUAGAGAAUACCAAGGCGCUUGAGAGAACUCGGGUGAAGGAACUAGGCAAAAUGGUGCCGUAACUUCGGGAGAAGGCACGCUGAUAUGUAGGUGAAGUCCCUCGCGGAUGGAGCUGAAAUCAGUCGAAGAUACCAGCUGGCUGCAACUGUUUAUUAAAAACACAGCACUGUGCAAACACGAAAGUGGACGUAUACGGUGUGACGCCUGCCCGGUGCCGGAAGGUUAAUUGAUGGGGUUAGCGCAAGCGAAGCUCUUGAUCGAAGCCCCGGUAAACGGCGGCCGUAACUAUAACGGUCCUAAGGUAGCGAAAUUCCUUGUCGGGUAAGUUCCGACCUGCACGAAUGGCGUAAUGAUGGCCAGGCUGUCUCCACCCGAGACUCAGUGAAAUUGAACUCGCUGUGAAGAUGCAGUGUACCCGCGGCAAGACGGAAAGACCCCGUGAACCUUUACUAUAGCUUGACACUGAACAUUGAGCCUUGAUGUGUAGGAUAGGUGGGAGGCUUUGAAGUGUGGACGCCAGUCUGCAUGGAGCCGACCUUGAAAUACCACCCUUUAAUGUUUGAUGUUCUAACGUUGACCCGUGAUCCGGGUUGCGGACAGUGUCUGGUGGGUAGUUUGACUGGGGCGGUCUCCUCCUAAAGAGUAACGGAGGAGCACGAAGGUUGGCUAAUCCUGGUCGGACAUCAGGAGGUUAGUGCAAUGGCAUAAGCCAGCUUGACUGCGAGCGUGACGGCGCGAGCAGGUGCGAAAGCAGGUCAUAGUGAUCCGGUGGUUCUGAAUGGAAGGGCCAUCGCUCAACGGAUAAAAGGUACUCCGGGGAUAACAGGCUGAUACCGCCCAAGAGUUCAUAUCGACGGCGGUGUUUGGCACCUCGAUGUCGGCUCAUCACAUCCUGGGGCUGAAGUAGGUCCCAAGGGUAUGGCUGUUCGCCAUUUAAAGUGGUACGCGAGCUGGGUUUAGAACGUCGUGAGACAGUUCGGUCCCUAUCUGCCGUGGGCGCUGGAGAACUGAGGGGGGCUGCUCCUAGUACGAGAGGACCGGAGUGGACGCAUCACUGGUGUUCGGGUUGUCAUGCCAAUGGCACUGCCCGGUAGCUAAAUGCGGAAGAGAUAAGUGCUGAAAGCAUCUAAGCACGAAACUUGCCCCGAGAUGAGUUCUCCCUGACUCCUUGAGAGUCCUGAAGGAACGUUGAAGACGACGACGUUGAUAGGCCGGGUGUGUAAGCGCAGCGAUGCGUUGAGCUAACCGGUACUAAUGAACCGUGAGGCUUAACCU